GCCCAGAUGGCGGAACUGGUAGACGCGCUAGGUUGAGGGCCUAGUGACCGAUUUUGGUCGUGCAAGUUCGAUUCUUGUUCUGGGCA
Molecule: transfer RNA, 86 nt
Filed under: Bacteroidota bacterium
Lineage: Bacteria; Pseudomonadati; Bacteroidota
Description: Bacteroidetes bacterium tRNA-Leu
Rfam family: tRNA
About the family: Transfer RNA (tRNA) molecules are approximately 80 nucleotides in length. Their secondary structure includes four short double-helical elements and three loops (D, anti-codon, and T loops).
Source: RNAcentral